GCAGGAGCUCAUUCCACUCCUGCUGCUAGGGCCACUUGGGCUGAGAGAGGAGGGUCCCAGCUUCCUGCCAACCUCCCCAGCAGGCGUCCAGGACACCCCGCCACCAGGCCUCUCCUCCACCCAGGAGUGUCCGCCCCACCCCGCCUCCUGGGCAGGUGGCACCAGAUGGCCCCAUCCUAGGUGAACCCAGGGGGUUCACUCCAGCCACCUCCUGGAGACCGAGUGCCACAGGCAGUCAUUCAGGUUCCACCCUGCGCCCAAGUGAGCCUGCAGCCUGGGCCUGUCCAUGCCCAGGACCCUCCUGCAGCAGCACUGCCCACCGGGUGGGUUCUGCCUCCUCACGAAGAGACCCAGGGACCAUGGAGCUCAGGGCGGCUGCAGCCCCACAGCCGGAGACUGGACUGAAUGCUCCCAGGGUGGUGGCCACAGGGUGCCCAGCAGAGGCAGUGGGGGUUUGGGCUGCCUCAGCCCCCAGCUGUGAGACAGGCUGGCCCCAGUCCAGUUCUUACCCCUGCACCACACUGCCUCUCGGGGUAGUCAGGGGUCCGUGUCCCACAGGUCACUCCUGAGCAUGCGUCCAAGGCUUGUCACCACCUGCCUGCAGCCACCCUGCACGGCCUUCCUAACAUUCGCCCUCCUCAGGACACCCUCUCGCAGAGCCUUGAAUUCACCACGUUCCCACCUGCUGUCCUUGUGCCUGUGGUUACCUUCAUGACGACAGCCCGGGCACCUUGAGACCCACCACUUCUGUGGGGCCUUCCUGACACUGCCCCAUCAGAAGUCCUCAGGAUCACUUACCCUCCCCGUAGCUCACUAGCACUUGAAGGGUGAAAAAUGUUGGGAACAUGUUAGUCUUCUCAAUUCAGACUCCCAUGCUGUGUGACUUUGGGUAAGGCAUUUAACCUCGUUGUACUACAUUGUCCACAUAGGUACUAUUUAUUGAGCACUUACUAUGUGCCAAUGACAAGGUACCUAGUACUUUAUGUGCAUGAUCAUAUUUACCCAGACACAGCGAUUACCUGUUUCCCAGCUACUUGGGGGACCGAGACAGGUGGAUCACACGUUUGAGGUCAGCCAGAGCAAUUUAGAUAGAUCCCGUCUCAAAAUAAAAAAUAAAAAGGGCUGGGUAUGGUACAGCCCCUUGAGUUCAGUCCCCAGUACCAGGAGAGAAAAAAUAAACAGAGAAAAACAGCUGCCACCAUUAUGGUCAUUUGCUCUUGUUUCUGUCUCCCACCCAGCCUAGCGACGAGCGGCACUGAAACUCCAUUACAGGUAGGUAUGGACUUGAGUGGGAGGGGCUGGGACAGGAAGGAGUUCCAGAGUCACCGCCCUGCACAUGCCCCAGAAUGCUCGGGGGCAGUCCUGUCCUGGCUGGGGCAGUACCGUCAGAGCCUAUUGCUGACAGACAGUG
This 1411-nucleotide long non-coding RNA is filed under the name Marmota monax (woodchuck). The record is from RNAcentral. Lineage: Eukaryota; Metazoa; Chordata; Mammalia; Rodentia; Sciuridae.